This 253-nucleotide ribosomal RNA is filed under the name uncultured bacterium. Its description in RNAcentral is "partial 16S ribosomal RNA". It matches the Rfam family "Bacterial small subunit ribosomal RNA", at positions 524 to 776 of the family's 1533-position model. The record is from RNAcentral.
UACGUAUGGGGCAAGCGCUACUCGGAUUUAUUGGGCGUAAAGCGAAUGUAGGCUGUCUAUUAAGUCAGUGGUGAAAUCCCUCGGCUCAACCGAGGAAUUGCCUUUGAUACUGGUAGACUAGAGGACAGGAGAGGAAAGUGGAAUUUCCGGUGUAGCGGUGGAAUGCGUAGAUAUCGGAAGGAACACCAGAGGCGAAGGCGGCUUUCUGGACUGUACCUGACGCUGAGAUUCGAAAGCUAGGGGAGCGAACAGG